UCCCGCGUGAAGGACGACGGCCCUAUGGGUUGUAAACUUCUUUUGUAUAGGGAUAAACCUACCCUCGUGAGGGUAGCUGAAGGUACUAUACGAAUAAGCACCGGCUAACUCCGUGCCAGCAGCCGCGGUAAUACGGAGGGUGCAAGCGUUAUCCGGAUUUAUUGGGUUUAAAGGGUCCGUAGGCGGAUCUGUAAGUCAGUGGUGAAAUCUCACAGCUUAACUGUGAAACUGCCAUUGAUACUGCAGGUCUUGAGUGUUGUUGAAGUAGCUGGAAUAAGUAGUGUAGCGGUGAAAUGCAUAGAUAUUACUUAGAACACCAAUUGCGAAGGCAGGUUACUAAGCAACAACUGACGCUGAUGGACGAAAGCGUGGGGAGCGAACAGGAUUAGAUACCCUGGUAGUCCACGCCGUAAACGAUGCUAACUCGUUUUUGGAAUGUAAGUUUCAGAGACUAAGCGAAAGUGAUAAGUUAGCCACCUGGGGAGUACGAACGCAAGUUUGAAACUCAAAGGAAUUGACGGGGGCCCGCACAAGCGGUGGAUUAUGUGGUUUAAUUCGAUGAUACGCGAGGAACCUUACCAAGGCUUAAAUGGGAAAUGACAGGUUUAGAAAUAGACUUUUCUUCGGACAUUUUUCAAGGUGCUGCAUGGUUGUCGUCAGCUCGUGCCGUGAGGUGUUAGGUUAAGUCCUGCAACGAGCGCAACCCCUGUCACUAGUUGCCAUCAUUAAGUUGGGGACUCUAGUGAGACUGCCUACGCAAGUAGAGAGGAAGGUGGGGAUGACGUCAAAUCAUCACGGCCCUUACGCCUUGGGCCACACACGUAAUACAAUGGCCGGUACAGAGGGCAGCUACACUGCGAANUGAUGCAAAUCUCGAAAGCCGGUCU
RNAcentral lists this ribosomal RNA (887 nucleotides) under Bacteroidetes bacterium WD96. RNAcentral's name for it is "bacterial SSU rRNA". It matches the Rfam family "Bacterial small subunit ribosomal RNA", at positions 395 to 1288 of the family's 1533-position model. Lineage: Bacteria; Pseudomonadati; Bacteroidota. The record is from RNAcentral.